AUUGAACGCUGGCGGCAGGCCUAACACAUGCAAGUCGAACGAGUGGCGGACGGGGGAGUAAUGGCUGGGAAACUGCACGAGGGAGGGGGAUAACUACUGGAAAAGGUAGCUAAUACCGCAUACCAUCGGAUGUGCCCAGAUGGGAUUAGCUAGUAGGUGGGGUAACGGCACACCGAGGCGCCGAUCCCUAGAUGGUCUGAGAGGAUGACCAGCCACACUGGAACUGAGACACGGUCCAGACUCCUACGGGAGGCAGCAGUGGGGAAUAUUGCACAAUGGGCGCAAGCCUGAUGCAGCCAUGCCGCGUGUAUGAAGAAGGCCUUCGGGUUGUAAAGUACUUUCAGCGAGGAGGCGUUACUCGCAGAAGAAGCACCGGCUAACUCCGUGCCAGCAGCCGCGGUAAUAC
Molecule: ribosomal RNA, 406 nt
Filed under: uncultured bacterium
Lineage: Bacteria
Description: partial 16S ribosomal RNA
Rfam family: Bacterial small subunit ribosomal RNA
Source: RNAcentral